CACACGACGCUCCGUCAUGAACAUGGAGGGCUUGGAGGACGACGAUGUUAUCUUCCUUCCGUCAGGAGGAUCCAGGAGAACUGGAGAGAAAGAGAAGCCGAUUGAGGCCACUACCACCAUCCACAUACAUCGAGGAAUAUGAGAUAGAGAAUUUAUCCUACCAUUAAAGAGGGUGAUGCAGUCAUAUACUUUUUCAGUGGACAUUGCUGAUCUAGCGGCUCUGGGAAUGUCACAACAAGCUUUUGUUAGCAUGCCUGAACAUUGCACAAAAGUCUUAGGACGGUGCAGCAUUCAGUGCCCUGCGUGCACACCCUCCAUGUUGGCUUUUGCAGUGGAUGGGAUCCGUAAACUAUACGGCUUUAGGUCCAGUAAUGGGUGUCAGAUGUUCAGCAGUGGAUGACAGGACCAACCAAUCAAAAUGACUUGCAGGACGCCAUUGAUGGACUCUUUUUGAGCAUUAAGCAGCAAACCCUUCAGCUGUAUCGUCAGACUGGCAGUGCUGAGGCAUUUACGGAGACGGGAAGUGAGGGUCUUCCCUGCGUGUUCAAGAGAAGAUUGCACAAAGUUCAAGCUUAGCAGGCUGCAGCUGGUCUGACAUAUUCUGGAACGGCAACAAUGUCUUUGGAUGACUCCUCCUCUGAAGAGGAAAACAUCAAUCAAUCAAUCAUUGUUUAUUGUCAUUACCAGAGUACAGGUACAAGGCAACGAAAUGGAAAGAACAGUUUGGUUUCAAAGAUUACAGCAUAAC
Limanda limanda (common dab) is the source of this 748-nucleotide long non-coding RNA. RefSeq lists it as uncharacterized. The record is from RefSeq and is a predicted model, not a curated record. Lineage: Eukaryota; Metazoa; Chordata; Actinopteri; Pleuronectiformes; Pleuronectidae. The transcript is spliced from 6 exons.